This 693-nucleotide ribosomal RNA is filed under the name uncultured bacterium. RNAcentral describes it as "bacterial SSU rRNA". It matches the Rfam family "Bacterial small subunit ribosomal RNA", at positions 81 to 770 of the family's 1533-position model. The record is from RNAcentral.
UGCUUCUCUUGAGAGCGGCGGACGGGUGAGUAAUGCCUAGGAAUCUGCCUGGUAGUGGGGGAUAACGUCCGGAAACGGACGCUAAUACCGCAUACGUCCUACGGGAGAAAGCAGGGGACCUUCGGGCCUUGCGCUAUCAGAUGAGCCUAGGUCGGAUUAGCUAGUUGGUGGGGUAAUGGCUCACCAAGGCGACGAUCCGUAACUGGUCUGAGAGGAUGAUCAGUCACACUGGAACUGAGACACGGUCCAGACUCCUACGGGAGGCAGCAGUGGGGAAUAUUGGACAAUGGGCGAAAGCCUGAUCCAGCCAUGCCGCGUGUGUGAAGAAGGUCUUCGGAUUGUAAAGCACUUUAAGUUGGGAGGAAGGGCAGUAAAUUAAUACUUUGCUGUUUUGACGUUACCGACAGAAUAAGCACCGGCUAACUCUGUGCCAGCAGCCGCGGUAAUACAGAGGGUGCAAGCGUUAAUCGGAAUUACUGGGCGUAAAGCGCGCGUAGGUGGUUCGUUAAGUUGGAUGUGAAAUCCCCGGGCUCAACCUGGGAACUGCAUUCAAAACUGACGAGCUAGAGUAUGGUAGAGGGUGGUGGAAUUUCCUGUGUAGCGGUGAAAUGCGUAGAUAUAGGAAGGAACACCAGUGGCGAAAGCGACCACCUGGACUGAUACUGACACUGAGGUGCGAAAGCGUGGGGAGCA